RNAcentral lists this unclassified non-coding RNA (762 nucleotides) under Zea mays. RNAcentral's name for it is "misc RNA Zm00001eb227260". The record is from RNAcentral. Lineage: Eukaryota; Viridiplantae; Streptophyta; Magnoliopsida; Poales; Poaceae.
CUGCUCGUGCGGGCGUCGUGGCCCUGUCUGGGGCUGUCGCCGCCGGAUCUGGCUCCUCAAUGGUGGUGUGUGGCGACGGCAGGUAGGCAGCAACCUGCCGUGCCCUACUGGCGUCUGCGGUGGUGCGCGUGCCAUUGGAUCUGGCGUGUCGCACUAGCUGCUGCCAGGGAUGGCCGACGGGAGGUGCGGCGCGAGGUGCUGCCUCCGCUCGACCAGGUCCAUGGGUCCAGCCAGAGGUGGUGGUGGUCGACGCAGCUUUGCGGCUGUUGUGGCAGCUGGCGCGUCGAUGUCCCUCUGGAUGGGUUUGUGUGUGUUGUGUGGGCGGCGGUGGCGGCAAAGGUGGUUGCUUUGUCACGGGUUCUUGGUCGGUCGUUUUGCUGGGAUUUUCUUGGGCGAAAGCUUUGGCGACGGCGACGCCCCUGGGCGCCGCUUCCCCUGUUGAGGGCGUCGGCUCCCCAGCACUGUCUUACGUGGGCGAAAGCCCGGUCCAUCUCGGACCGGCGACGAUGGCGUCCUCAACGUCACUCCCUUCCUGAAGGCGUCGCUACUGAAGUUUGUAUCGGCCAUACCGUAGCCUGUGGUGGUUGCUUUCAUCUUUCGGAUGUCAGUUUGCGUGUGGAGGUGGGGGCUUGCAUCAUGAAGUUGAAGCUGCUACGUCAGGGGAUGUGGCUCGGCAACGAUGACGUGGGGCGAACCCCCCUUCUUCGUGGGUUGGUCUACUUCGAAGAUGAGGAAUUUGGCGGAGGCGGGGCGGUGGAUUAA